RNAcentral lists this transfer RNA (88 nucleotides) under Lachnospiraceae bacterium. RNAcentral describes it as "tRNA-Ser". It matches the Rfam family "tRNA". From Rfam's summary of the family: Transfer RNA (tRNA) molecules are approximately 80 nucleotides in length. Their secondary structure includes four short double-helical elements and three loops (D, anti-codon, and T loops). Lineage: Bacteria; Bacillati; Bacillota; Clostridia; Lachnospirales; Lachnospiraceae. The record is from RNAcentral.
GGAGAAAUACUCAAUAGGCCGAAGAGGCGCCCCUGCUAAGGGUGUAGGUCGGGCAACCGGCGCGAGGGUUCAAAUCCCUCUUUCUCCG